CUUUGUGACAUCUCUGCUGGAGGAGGUGACCAUCAGGAGGACUCACACCAAUGUGACAAUUGGGGAAGCUGCUCGGAGCUUCAGGUCCAUGAAUGGGAAGUAUUUGGCCAGAAGGGGAUUCUUGUGCAAGUCCAGCAUGCGGAUGUUUGCCUUCACUGUCUUCCCAAUCUCCGCCUGCAUCGUGCAGACAGAGGCUCAGGGAUGGCCUCUGAGAGACCAAUCUCACCAUCUAUGGUGCCCCAUGACUUUCUGAGAUACUAAUAGCAUCACCAACCUCAACCCACAGACCUGGGAAUCAGGGAUGAGUCACCCAGGUUUACCUCUGGACUAUCAGCCAGUCAGCAAAUGAAAAUUGAUGAAGCGCUUAUUCCAAGGGGAUCCCGACCACAACCCUCUGGAAGCCCAGCUUCAGUCACCUCAGAUAUUUGGAGUAAUAAAAUUUCGCUAUUGACGUGAAAGAUAAAACGAGAUCUAUUCCUUUUCCUUUUUUGCAAUGGUGCUU
Molecule: long non-coding RNA, 502 nt
Filed under: Homo sapiens (human)
Lineage: Eukaryota; Metazoa; Chordata; Mammalia; Primates; Hominidae
Description: HSALNT0314415
Source: RNAcentral